This 206-nucleotide unclassified non-coding RNA is filed under the name Hevea brasiliensis (rubber tree). Lineage: Eukaryota; Viridiplantae; Streptophyta; Magnoliopsida; Malpighiales; Euphorbiaceae. The record is from RNAcentral.
AGUACCUCGAUGAAGCAAGUCCCAAAAGUUAACUCAGUUGCAUUCCUCAACUUUUGAAGAUAAUCUUCGAUGAGUGUCUUUAUAACGUGAUGCUCAUCAGGACCUUGAUCAAACCAAGUCCAGUUCAUUUGGAAAGUAAGCUUCACACUGACCAGAGAUGAUACAUUUACUAGCCUACACCUAAGAUCAUACAUAUAUCCAGAGAU